UGGGGAAUUUUGGACAAUGGGGGAAACCCUGAUCCAGCCAUCCCGCGUGUGCGAUGAAGGCCUUCGGGUUGUAAAGCACUUUUGGCAGGAAAGAAACGUCAUGGGUUAAUACCCCGUGACACUGACGGUACCUGCAGAAUAAGCACCGGCUAACUACGUGCCAGCAGCCGCGGUAAUACGUAGGGUGCAAGCGUUAAUCGGAAUUACUGGGCGUAAAGCGUGCGCAGGCGGUUCGGAAAGAAAGAUGUGAAAUCCCAGAGCUCAACUUUGGAACUGCAUUUUUAACUACCGGGCUAGAGUGUGUCAGAGGGAGGUGGAAUUCCGCGUGUAGCAGUGAAAUGCGUAGAUAUGCGGAGGAACACCGAUGGUGAAGGCAGACUACUGAGAUAACACUGAAGCUCAUGCACGAAAGCGUGGGGAGCAAACAGG
RNAcentral lists this ribosomal RNA (429 nucleotides) under Acidobacteriota bacterium. RNAcentral's name for it is "Acidobacteria bacterium partial 16S ribosomal RNA". It matches the Rfam family "Bacterial small subunit ribosomal RNA", at positions 355 to 776 of the family's 1533-position model. Lineage: Bacteria; Pseudomonadati; Acidobacteriota. The record is from RNAcentral.